RNAcentral lists this ribosomal RNA (460 nucleotides) under uncultured bacterium. RNAcentral describes it as "partial 16S ribosomal RNA". It matches the Rfam family "Bacterial small subunit ribosomal RNA", at positions 338 to 795 of the family's 1533-position model. The record is from RNAcentral.
CCUACGGGGGGCAGCAGUGAGGAAUAUUGGUCAAUGGACGAGAGUCUGAACCAGCCAAGUAGCGUGAAGGAUGCCUGCCCUAUGGGUUGUAAACUUCUUUUAUAAAGGAAUAAAACGAGGCACGUGUGCCUUUUUGCAUGUACUUUAUGAAUAAGGAUCGGCUAACUCCGUGCCAGCAGCCGCGGUAAUACGGAGGAUCCGAGCGUUAUCCGGAUUUAUUGGGUUUAAAGGGAGAGUAGAUGGUUUGUUAAGUCAGUUGUGAAAGUUUGCGGCUCAACCGUAAAAUUGCAAUUGAUACUGGCAUUCUUGAGUACAGUUGAGGUAGGCGGAAUUCGUGGUGUAGCGGUGAAAUGCUUAGAUAUCACGAAGAACCCCGAUUGCGAAGGCAGCUUACUAAACUGUGACUGACAUUGAUGCUCGAAAGUGUGGGUAUCAAACAGGAUUAGAUACCCCUGUAGUC